AAAAUUUAAAUUUAACAUACUAAAAUAGUAGAUAAAUAUUUAUUGAAACUUAAAUAAUUUGGCGGUAUUUUAGUUCAUUUAGAGGAAUCUGUUUAAUAAUUGAUAUUCCACGAAUAAAUUUACUUAAUUUUUAAUUUUGUAUAUCGUUGUUGUAAAAAUAUUUUUUAAUAAUAAUUAAUAUUUAAAAAUUAAUAUGAUAAUUUAAAUCAGAUCAAGAUGCAGAUUAUAAUUAAGAAUAUAAUGGAUUACAAUAAAUUUAUUUAAAUGAAUUUUAAUUUGUAAAUAAAUUAAUUGAAAGUGGAUUUAAAUGUAAUUUUAUUUAAUUUAAUAAAAUGAUUUAAAAUUAAAAUAUGU
This 354-nucleotide ribosomal RNA is filed under the name Sesamia sp. SEKEG4839. RNAcentral's name for it is "partial 12S small subunit ribosomal RNA". Lineage: Eukaryota; Metazoa; Arthropoda; Insecta; Lepidoptera; Noctuidae. The record is from RNAcentral.